Molecule: non-coding RNA, 2695 nt
Organism: Vicugna pacos (alpaca)
Lineage: Eukaryota; Metazoa; Chordata; Mammalia; Artiodactyla; Camelidae
Source: RefSeq, a predicted model, not a curated record
GGUUGCUUUAAUCUGUUCCCAGCGGCACCGUGAGUUCUUCAAACAGCCCUGUGUGAGCCACUGGGUGAUGGACAGGAAAGAUGUUGGUCUAGAGACUGGGACCCCAGGUACCCGAGAUGCCCUUGUCCAUAACUCUGGCUCUUAGGACCCAGCAGGUGAUUUCUGCAUCCCAUGUUUUGUCUCUCUGGAAUCAUCCUCCAGGGGAACACACACUCCCCCACCAGUGUGAAGAGAGGUCUGGGCAUCAGCCUGGGAGCGGAGCAAUUACUGAGCACCUACUCUGGGAGCAUCAACGAUGUGUUGGGUGCUGUCCAAGGACAAGUCACAACUAUCCAGAAGGAACUGAGUGCUGAUCAGGAGGUUGUAUUGGAGAUUGUACAAAGAACCAGGAUGUCCGGUAAAAGAUGGUUAAAAACCGCAGGAAGUCUUCACCUGAGAGCAUCUCAGCUCAGAGGAAAGCAGCACCUGACCUGCCAGCCAACACCAGACACUUACUGGUCAGGAUUAAAAAGAAGAUUUCUGAUGCUUAGAAGCAUCAGGCGAACUCACCAAGGGCACGGAGUGGGCUGAAACCCAGGUGGGCUGGUUCCCAGCUUUCCCCACUCAGGAGGAGAGGGAGUUCCACUCUGGGGGGACCAGACUCCUUCUGUCCCAGGCGCUCAUGCUCUAGUGAGAAGAUAAGCCACUGACCUGGAGACUCUAGAUCAAGGUCUUUGCUUCUGACCCCACAGUGGCCUCUACCUCAUGGGUCUGGCUUCCUCAAGACCUUCCACCAGCCUGCUCAGAGCCCCACUUACUUGAGUCUCCUCCAUGGUCAUUCCUAUACGCUCCUCCCCACUCCAGCUGCCCCAGUGUCUCAAGGCCAGGGGGACAAACAGAGUGAACCCUCUUCUGUGUGGCAGGUCCAGUCCCUACAGAUAAGGGAGAGGAGACCAGACAGGGCUUCUUUAUCUCUGAUAGGUUGUUACGCCUUUUCCCAGAUUGAUUCUGAAGAUUCACCUCCCAACUGCUAAGAACUAGCUCUUCCUUUUCUGCAACUCCUUUCUCAUUUCCUUAGACUAGGAGACAGGCACCAUGAGGUGGGGGACGGGGGGCUACUGUGAUUUCUUCCACGCAGUGUCUAGCACAGAGUAGACAGCAAAUAAUGAAUGAAUGAAUGGGUUCAGAAUUAGACUCAGCCUUUCAUGUUAAAGACAGAAGAGGAAAGAGACGUGGACCAAAAUGUGGAAGGGCUCAGAACCUCUUAUUCCCUGGCUGCUGUCCCAAUGAUGCGUUAGUCUUCUUGAAUGUAAAUCCCGGGGGCUGUCAUGACAUUAGCCCCUCCUGCAAUGCUCCAGAGGGAAGCAGAAAACAUUCUCACUCAUUUUAUCACAUGCAGCCUCUGGAACUGGGAGCCCCAGUGAUUCCUUUGCCUUCUGGAGCCAGCCCAGUCAGUUAACACUAGUCUAGGCCCAGGAGAUGCUGGGACAAGCUGAGGAUUUCCUUUAGAGUUAUGCUUUCAGGGCAAGAUUUUUAGUAGCUCAUUCCUCUUCCCUACCAGAUGGUGAAGCACGUGGAAGAUAAAAGUCUUUUACUAGCAUUUUCUCAGCCAUGCAUCCUGCAGUGGGGUGAGCCCCACGUGCCUUUCUCCCUCUCCCUCACCAUGUGUGCUCUGCUGAACUGGGGGAGGUGGGAGACUGCUGUGAAGGAUGGAAGCAACAACACCCACAGAGCACUUUCCAGUAACUCUGUUAUCUCAUAGCACUCUCAUGAAGGACUGGUGAGGUGUUGAUCUAUUUCACAGAUGAGCAAAGUGAGGCUCUGAUGGGCUAACAUACCCAAGGUCCCCGAACUACUGAGUGUCGGGGUCAGGAUUUGGACCCAGGCUCUCUGAUUCCAGAGACUGGGGCUGGAGGUGGGGGAGACCAUCUGGAAAGCAAAUGGAGCCUGGUCAUGGCUCUUGAGUCUUCAGACUUUGCCCUCUUGGAUAAAGAAUACUUGAAAGAACAUCUUGCUUGAAAUGACGCCCAAUAAGUCUCUCCUCUAAUUAAGACACUGUGACUCUACAAGUGAAUUAAAACACACACGUUUUUCUUGGAAAGAGUGUAAGUGUCAACCCAAAGGCCCAUCAGACUUAUUAGCAAACACCAGGCUGUUCGAUCAGCUUGCUGUCACCCCGAAAGCAGAAAGCACCCCUCAGGGGCUGGGUCUUUAGGGCAGGUGCCAUUUGAAGGAGGUGCAGGGCUGACAGAAAGGUUACAAUAUUCAGUGGUGUUAGCAGUAACAGCACAUCCAAGAUCAAGGUGGCGAUAUUCCCUCUGCGUUCCUUCCGAGUCACACCACACCUGGGUUAUGAGUUCAGUUCUAAGCACGACCUUCAAAAUAGGAGGCUGAAAAACAGAAACAGAGGGGACCAGAGGCGCAUAGAGGGACCCUCAACCAUUCCCACCAAGGAUGAAUUAAAAGAAUAGAGGAUAUUUUACCCAAGAAGAGAAGACUGAGGGUGAAAUGGAAGUUGUGGCAAGUAACUGAGCCCCGCUCCCCCGUUGUUAACAACUAUGUGAGGGCGACAUCUUGCAUGUGGAUCCUUCAGCCCAAGUCCAGCCUUCAGAUGACCGCCACUCUGGAUGACAGCUUGACCGUAACCUUUGAGAAACCCUGAGCCUGAACCACCCAGCUAUGCCCAGGAGUGGGGCUGUUGAAUCAUAGUGUUAAG